GAUUGACCUCGGAUCAGGUAGGGAUACCCGCUGAACUUAAGCAUAUCAAU
Molecule: ribosomal RNA, 50 nt
Filed under: Glaucomaria carpinea
Lineage: Eukaryota; Fungi; Ascomycota; Lecanoromycetes; Lecanorales; Lecanoraceae
Also listed under: 2 other names
Description: Lecanora carpinea partial 28S ribosomal RNA
Source: RNAcentral